RNAcentral lists this ribosomal RNA (490 nucleotides) under uncultured bacterium. RNAcentral's name for it is "partial 16S ribosomal RNA". It matches the Rfam family "Bacterial small subunit ribosomal RNA", at positions 28 to 507 of the family's 1533-position model. The record is from RNAcentral.
GAUGAACGCUAGCUACAGGCUUAACACAUGCAAGUCGCGGGGCAGCAUGGGGGUUGCUUGCAAUCCCCGAUGGCGACCGGCGCACGGGUGAGUAACGCGUACCCAACCUGCCCUUCACCACGGGAUAACCCGGCGAAAGUCGGACUAAUACCGUAUGUUGUCCAUUGACGGCAUCCGAUUUGGACGAAAGGUUUGGCGGUGAAGGAUGGGGAUGCGUCCGAUUAGCUGGACGGCGGGGUGACGGCCCACCGUGGCGACGAUCGGUAGGGGUUCUGAGAGGAAGGUCCCCCACACUGGAACUGAGACACGGUCCAGACUCCUACGGGAGGCAGCAGUGAGGAAUAUUGGUCAAUGGGCGUAAGCCUGAACCAGCCAAGUAGCGUGCAGGAUGACGGCCCUAUGGGUGGUAAACUGCUUUUAUGCGGGGAUAAAGUGGCCCACGUGUGGGUUUUUGCAGGUACCGCAUGAAUAAGGACCGGCUAAUUCCGUG